This is a non-coding RNA of Nicotiana tabacum (common tobacco), 1192 nucleotides long. Lineage: Eukaryota; Viridiplantae; Streptophyta; Magnoliopsida; Solanales; Solanaceae. The record is from RefSeq and is a predicted model, not a curated record.
GACGGUACACACCUUCUCUGUCUCUCUCUCUACACAGUCUCUCUCGUUCUCUAAACAAGCGAUUUCCCAAAUUAAAUCACUGUAAUAUAAGAGGUUUAAGGAGAUUAAAAUGAUGUAAGAUGGUCAUAUCCGUUAACGAUUCUCCCAAAUCCUUUAUCUUUUAUGUAAGGAAAUCAGAUUUCAACUCGUUUAAGGUAAUGUGUUUGAAUUAGUCUAUAAAUAGCCCUUUUUCUGAUAAAUACUCACUUCAAUACGUCUCCGAUUUCAAGUCGUUCGUGUAAUACCUUCCAAAAUGUUGUUGAUUUCACUAUUUUAAGGCGUGCAUGUGUGUGUAUUGGAUUGAUAUCAGUUUAAACCACUAAUUUUAGCCAUGAAUUUCACUGAUUUAGGUUUCGAUUUUGCUGUUUUAGCCAUUGAUUUCAUUGAUUUUAGGCGUGCAUCUGUGUGUAUUGGACGAAGAUCAGUUUAAAUCACUGAUUUUAGCUAUCGAUUCACUGCUUAAGCCCAUCAAUUUUACCGUUUGGCAAUCAAUUUUAUUGAUUCGGCCGUCGAUCUCACUAUUUUAGCUGCCAAUUUCUGCUAAUAGUUUUAUUUUUUUCCGUUUAUUUUUGUAUCAAGUUUUGUUAAUUUUCUAUUCAAUUAAGUCUGUGUUUAUUUAAAUUUUGACAUUUUUAGUUUUUGUUCUGCUAAUAUUAACCUAAAUAUCAAUUAUGGCCUCGAUAAGUAGCCAAGGAAUCUAAAACAGCUGGUAAAGCUAUUGGGAUCGACGUCGACAAAAUUAUAUUUGAUAGAAUCAAAUGCAACUAUGCCACAAACGUUUCAGAGCACACAUUUCAUACAAGAAACUCUGCAUCUCCAAGAUCCAAUGGUAACCCUGAUUAACGAUGCAUUUGGUUUCAUGGGGAACAAUGUCAAUGAGCCUGGUGUGUCUUGUGAUCCUAUGAAUAGUGAAGAAAUAUUUGAUGAAGAAUAUGCCUAAUAAAGAAUAUGCAAAGUUCUAUAAACUGGUCGAAGAUGGCAAUCAACCAUUAUACGAAGGGUGCACGAAGUAUUCCAAAUAGUCAUUUCUAGUCAAAUUGUAUCAUAUCAAGUGUUUGUGCCGAAUGACUGACAAAGCGAUGAGUAUGAUAUUAGAAUUGUUAAAAGAUGUCUUUGAAGAUGCCAAGAUUCCUGUUUCUAUUUAUGAGGCCAA